Anguilla anguilla (European eel) is the source of this 1089-nucleotide long non-coding RNA. RefSeq lists it as uncharacterized. The transcript is spliced from 3 exons. NCBI's taxonomy places the organism in Eukaryota, Metazoa, Chordata, Actinopteri, Anguilliformes, Anguillidae. The record is from RefSeq and is a predicted model, not a curated record.
CGGCGCCACCGUCAGUUUGCUAAAGUGAGACAGGAAGUGAUGUACAAGCUUCAGAAGUGAUCUACUUGAACUACACACCAUUUACGCACCUUACUACAGAUACGCAUACUGAACAGACAGCGAUCCUGACAAAAGGCUUUGUGAUUUUCGGGGAGGGGCCUACCAGCCACCCAGACCAUGUGGAGAGAGCUGUGCAGGAUGUUCUGCGUGCGCGAGGCAAAGUCGUGGCGGUACAUCUCCAUGGCGAUGGACUCGCCCAGCAGGAUGAUGAGGAACCACAUGUAGGAGGCCGAGUGCAGCAGGAACUUGAUCACAGGGAUUUUCAGGGUUUUUCCGAUCUGCGAGGAGCACAGGGUUUUUAUUAAAUUUCACUCUAAAGAAAGGCAGAAUCACAUGACCCUAGGACAGAACAGACCCUGCCCAGGUGCACGUUGGGACAGGGCAUCAGUCUAGCGGAAAGUGCUGCUAACAAGCCUCAUGGUCCAGGAUCAAGUCAUGCCCGAGUCAGGACUGUGUCUGGGGCUCCCGUGGAACAAUAACAUUGUGCAGGGAGGAAGGGAGGGAGGGUUUCGGUUGGCAGGGCUUUCUCCUCUGAUUGAUGGGGCCUGUGCGAUCAGAGAAUUUCAGUCUCACCUUCGACUUGGGGGCGAUCCAGUAGAUGAGGCAGAGGACUGGCAUGGCCAGGAAGAUCCCAAAGGACACCAGGAGCUUCCAGGCUGUGCGGCUGCCCCUCCAGCUGGUCAGUUUGCCGCACCAAAUGGAGGAGAGCACUUGCUGGCAGAUGGGGUGAGUCACAAACUUGAGGAAGAGAAGGUUACGGUAAUGAGUGCCAAGGAGACGCUUUGAGAAUGUUUUCCCACAGUGCAGUGCAAUUUCACAUUCAGUCUGUAAACAGUGCCAAACAGCUAUUGCACUGGUAUCAGUCUUGUGGGUACCUCAUUGUUAUAUAAAUAAGAGUACAUAGACCCUAGGUAACGGAGUAUAGAUCUUUGGAUGAAGCCGUUAUCUUGCACACAACUGUAAACUCAAAUACUACAUUUAUCAAUAAAGACACUGCACCACCCUGCCCUGCCCACCCCACCGGCCCCA